GUUAAGUUGCAGGGUAUAGACCCGAAACCCGGUGAUCUAGCCAUGGGCAGGUUGAAGGUUGGGUAACACUAACUGGAGGACCGAACCGACUAAUGUUGAAAAAUUAGCGGAUGACUUGUGGCUGGGGGUGAAAGGCCAAUCAAACCGGGAGAUAGCUGGUUCUCCCCGAAAGCUAUUUAGGUAGCGCCUCGUGAAUUCAUCUCCGGGGGUAGAGCACUGUUUCGGCAAGGGGGUCAUCCCGACUUACCAACCCGAUGCAAACUGCGAAUACCGGAGAAUGUUAUCACGGGAGACACACGGCGGGUGCUAACGUCCGUCGUGAAGAGGGAAACAACCCAGACCGCCAGCUAAGGUCCCAAAGUCAUGGUUAAGUGGGAAACGAUGUGGGAAGGCCCAGACAGCCAGGAUGUUGGCUUAGAAGCAGCCAUCAUUUAAAGAAAGCGUAAUAGCUCACUGGUCGAGUCGGCCUGCGCGGAAGAUGUAACGGGGCUAAACCAUGCAC
Molecule: ribosomal RNA, 502 nt
Filed under: Escherichia coli
Lineage: Bacteria; Pseudomonadati; Pseudomonadota; Gammaproteobacteria; Enterobacterales; Enterobacteriaceae
Description: partial 23S ribosomal RNA
Rfam family: Bacterial large subunit ribosomal RNA
Source: RNAcentral